RNAcentral lists this ribosomal RNA (995 nucleotides) under Streptococcus salivarius. Its description in RNAcentral is "bacterial SSU rRNA". It matches the Rfam family "Bacterial small subunit ribosomal RNA", at positions 1 to 979 of the family's 1533-position model. Lineage: Bacteria; Bacillati; Bacillota; Bacilli; Lactobacillales; Streptococcaceae. The record is from RNAcentral.
UUAAUGAGAGUUUGAUCCUGGCUCAGGACGAACGCUGGCGGCGUGCCUAAUACAUGCAAGUAGAACGCUGAAGAGAGGAGCUUGCUCUUCUUGGAUGAGUUGCGAACGGGUGAGUAACGCGUAGGUAACCUGCCUUGUAGCGGGGGAUAACUAUUGGAAACGAUAGCUAAUACCGCAUAACAAUGGAUGACACAUGUCAUUUAUUUGAAAGGGGCAAUUGCUCCACUACAAGAUGGACCUGCGUUGUAUUAGCUAGUAGGUGAGGUAACGGCUCACCUAGGCGACGAUACAUAGCCGACCUGAGAGGGUGAUCGGCCACACUGGGACUGAGACACGGCCCAGACUCCUACGGGAGGCAGCAGUAGGGAAUCUUCGGCAAUGGGGGCAACCCUGACCGAGCAACGCCGCGUGAGUGAAGAAGGUUUUCGGAUCGUAAAGCUCUGUUGUAAGUCAAGAACGAGUGUGAGAGUGGAAAAUUCACACUGUGACGGUAGCUUACCAGAAAGGGACGGCUAACUACGUGCCAGCAGCCGCGGUAAUACGUAGGUCCCGAGCGUUGUCCGGAUUUAUUGGGCGUAAAGCGAGCGCAGGCGGUUUGAUAAGUCUGAAGUUAAAGGCUGUGGCUCAACCAUAGUUCGCUUUGGAAACUGUCAAACUUGAGUGCAGAAGGGGAGAGUGGAAUUCCAUGUGUAGCGGUGAAAUGCGUAGAUAUAUGGAGGAACACCGGUGGCGAAAGCGGCUCUCUGGUCUGUAACUGACGCUGAGGCUCGAAAGCGUGGGGAGCGAACAGGAUUAGAUACCCUGGUAGUCCACGCCGUAAACGAUGAGUGCUAGGUGUUGGAUCCUUUCCGGGAUUCAGUGCCGCAGCUAACGCAUUAAGCACUCCGCCUGGGGAGUACGACCGCAAGGUUGAAACUCAAAGGAAUUGACGGGGGCCCGCACAAGCGGUGGAGCAUGUGGUUUAAUUCGAAGCAACGCGAAGAACCUUACCAGGU